Molecule: ribosomal RNA, 207 nt
Filed under: uncultured bacterium
Lineage: Bacteria
Description: partial 16S ribosomal RNA
Rfam family: Bacterial small subunit ribosomal RNA
Source: RNAcentral
UGCGUAGGUGGUUGGUUAAGUUUGAGGUGAAAGCUCCGAGCUCAACUCGGAAAAUGCCUUGAAGACUAUCUGACUAGAGGAUUGGAGGGGAGAUUGGAAUUCUCGGUGUAGCAGUGAAAUGCGUAGAUAUCGAGAGGAACACCAGUGGCGAAGGCGAAUCUCUGGACAAUUCCUGACACUGAGGCACGAAAGCCAGGGGAGCAAACG